This 442-nucleotide ribosomal RNA is filed under the name low G+C Gram-positive bacterium wo47. RNAcentral describes it as "bacterial SSU rRNA". It matches the Rfam family "Bacterial small subunit ribosomal RNA", at positions 393 to 828 of the family's 1533-position model. The record is from RNAcentral. Lineage: Bacteria; Bacillati; Bacillota.
AACGCCGCGUGAGUGAAGAAGGUUUUCGGAUCGUAAAACUCUGUUGUUAGGGAAGAACACGUACGAGAGUAACUGCUCGUACCUUGACGGUACCUAACCAGAAAGCCACGGCUAACUACGUGCCAGCAGCCGCGGUAAUACGUAGGUGGCAAGCGUUGUCCGGAAUUAUUGGGCGUAAAGCGCGCGCAGGUGGUUCCUUAAGUCUGAUGUGAAAGCCCCCGGCUCAACCGGGGAGGGUCAUUGGAAACUGGGGAACUUGAGUGCAGGAGAGGAAAGUGGAAUUCCACGUGUAGCGGUGAAAUGCGUAGAUAUGUGGAGGAACACCAGUGGCGAAGGCGACUUUCUGGCCUGUAACUGACAUGAGGCGCGAAAGCGUGGGGAGCAAACAGGAUUAGAUACCCUGGUAUGCCACGCCGUAAACGAUGAGUGCUAAGUGUUGGGG